GUCCCUAGAGACAGCCUGGAACGAUUGGGUGCCAGCUGCGGAAAGGAGAGCAAGGCGACCAAACACAGGGUAAGGUCUAGAGGUGCUCAUAGUUCACUACAGGACAUGUACAUGAAAGUGAAUAAUUAUGUCACAAGGUGCCAAGGGGGCUAGUUACCUCACAUAGGAUCUUAGAAAAGGUCUCCUGGAGACCAUGUCUGAGGUGUGAGUAGGGAUUCUCCGCAGGGCAGGGAAGGACUUGAAAGAGUCUGGCAAUAUGGAGCACAUAAGGAUUAUGGAAGGUGAGCUUGGAGAACAAGGCAGAGUCUAGCCUGUAAAAGGCCUCUUGCAAUUUGUUGAGGAGCCAUGACCUUCUCCCAUGCAUGGUGAAAUGCCCUUAAAGGAUUUUGAAUAGAUUUAAAAGACGCUCAGAAACAAAAAAUGGUAGACUCAAAAUAGACGGUAGGGAUCACUUUCUUCCAUUUUCUUUGAAGAAUCAGAAGCGUUUACCACCACCUGGAUUGUUUUUGGGCUUUCAGCUGUGGCUGCCUGCAGCCCAUCCUGCCCCCAGCACCUAGAGUCAUCUUUAGAAAUGCAAGCCUGAUUGUGGAAUCCACCUUCCUGACACCCUUCAGUGCUCUCCUCUUCGUUACACCUUUGCUAUACAAAGGAUAGUCCAUGGACCUUCAGCGUCAACAUAACCAGGGAGCUUGUUAGAAAUGUAGAAUCUGGUCCAUCCCAAACCUGCUGAAGCAGAAGCUGCAUUUUGCCAAGAUCCCAGGGAAUUUGUGUGCCCAUUAUGGUUUGAGAAGUGCUUCCCAAGAAGACACACGGCAAGCUGGAGGGAUCUUUGCAGAUCAUGCUCCUUUCAUUCUCCAGCCUCAUCUUGUCACUCUCCUCCAUCCGUGCCCACAUCCCCACUGUACUGGACUGCUUGCAGCUCCUUGAAUGCACCAUAGUCUUGUUUUCUUUUUUGCAGUGAUUCUACAUCUUUCCCAUCUUCUCCACCUGGAUGCCUCCAUCCAUCCUUUCAGACUUGCCUUCUCUAGCAAACCUUUCUUGCUAAUUCCCAUGUCUAACACAACACUUCUCCACACUGCAUGGCCAUUAUCCUUUCUGCAUCAGACUAUGAGCACCUUGAAGGCAGUGGCAGUGACUCAUUCAUUGUGGCAUCUGCAGAUUCCAGUGGACUGCCAGGCAUGCAAUAGAAAAUCAAAAAAGAUUUACUGCUAAAUAAUCCUCAACUCCAGUGGCAGCUCCAUGUGCCGUUUCUCUUCUGCUCUGGCCUCGGCUCUUCCUGUGCCUACCUGGGGCUGGGCCUUCAUCUAGGUGUCUGCAUGGAAGGGAGAGGGACCUGGAGGACCAUCGCCAAUCCAUCAAUAGCCUCCCAGUUGAGACGACUUCAGCUCUGAUUUGGGAGAGCUAUGAUAUUGUUUAUAGUAGUGAAUUAAUAUGUGUAAAGGUUACAAAGUAAACAGUUAAAUUAAAUUAAUUGUGCUGGAGCAGGUCAAACAGGCUCCUGAGAGAUGAACAUACACGUCUCUAUUAACUCCACAUUCAGUGAGUGUGGGUAACUUGAAAUUGGCUGGGUCACAAUUUACAUCAUAGAAAUUGGCAAAUAGUACAAAUUAGGGCUCCCUCACCCCUACUUGGGCAUAGAGCUGGUACACUAGCACACCUCUGGUUAUACAUGCAUGCGUGUGCCACCAGAACAGAACACCUAACAGCAGGCACGUUGCCUCUGUUGCCCACCAUUAUAGCUCCCGCACGGAGCAGACAGACUCAUGGCAGGAACUGAAUGCAUGUUUGUUGAGUGGAAGCAUGAACAAAUCCACAAAAUGCCCAAGAUGACGCAAAGAAGGACAUUAGCUCAAAUGUUAAACAUAAGUUAGGAGCUGAGAUAAUGCCAAGAGGAAAAAUGUUCUGUAAUUCUAAGUAAAACCAUCUCUAAGGCAGGGUGCUGCUUAUGAGGGCUCCACAGACACAUGAGGGAGGCCUGGGUCCUGCCCUUGGAAAGAGUCUGACAGCUCGACUUCUGGAAACAGCCAUCUGCACAGGUCAGCAUCUCUUAGCUGACAGGGAGCAGAUCUGCAGACCACAUCACAUUUGAAAUUCCAGAAGAAACUUCUUGGAGUCUGCUCUUGUGCAAAUGAGCCUAGAAAGCCCGUUAACUUUGGAUGGAGGCUUCCACAAUUUGGCUAUUCCAAGUGGGCCCAAAGCUGAGGAAAACCCACCAGCCCUUUGCUUCCUGCUUCCUCUAUUUGUUUGCCCCAGGAAAGCAGAGGUGAUGACAUGAUUUGGCUUGGGCACGACAGGAAUAAACGAUAUUUAAGAGAUGUCA
RNAcentral lists this long non-coding RNA (2320 nucleotides) under Pongo abelii (Sumatran orangutan). RNAcentral's name for it is "long non-coding RNA NONPPYT007690". Lineage: Eukaryota; Metazoa; Chordata; Mammalia; Primates; Hominidae. The record is from RNAcentral.